Non-coding RNA from Salmo salar (Atlantic salmon), 1396 nucleotides. NCBI's taxonomy places the organism in Eukaryota, Metazoa, Chordata, Actinopteri, Salmoniformes, Salmonidae. The record is from RefSeq and is a predicted model, not a curated record.
GUCAGCUCUCCAAUCAUCAAUGGGGCUAACCAAUCAGCUGCUUGUAGAGAAUUUCAGGAAUCCAUUUCCUGAAAUGCAUACAUGAAAAUACACAAACCACACCACAGAAACUGAGGAACAUAACAGACAGUAUAACACACACAGUAGUAGUAUCCUGUGUCUUCUCCCCUAAACAGAAGGACACUCUGAAGCUGGGGGACUUUGGCUCGUGUUAGAGUGUUUACUCCCGCCCUACACAGAGUACAUCUCUACACGUUGCUACAGAACCCCAGAGUGCCUCAUAACUGACGGACACAACUCUCACAAGAUGGACGUCUGGAGCGUGUCUUCUACAAGAUCAUCAGGGAUGAAGGCCUCAACUGCAGGACCAGCUUCCCCACCUUAUUCUGUUUACAGGACGGAGAUGUGACAUAGUGAACAUGUCAACAUGACAUAUCAGUGGAAUCAAGUCUCUCGUCUCUCCAGGAUUUGAAGUCAUUCAGAGACGCUGCUGCCUCAUCAUUGGCACUUCCUACAACUCCCUCCCAAGGCCUUCAAAGUGUUCCUGCACAACCACCAGUCCUCUGAACAAGUUUCUAACCCUUAAACAGCAACAGUAUGAUCUGAGGAGUUCAAUGUAACAAGCUGCACUACCAGACACCAAAGAUCAUUCACAAGAGAUCUCAAACUAUGCAGAUGGUUUUCUCCACCACUAAAGACAUUUAAUAUGACUAUUUAUUGAUUUGGUGGUGUGUCUAUUUGUUGUGUGACUUUUGAUGACCCACUGUCCAUAUAUUAAGGCAGAGUAUACCUGUUUGUGUAUGACAUCACAUUUUAUGUAUGUUUCUGCAUAUGUACCAAUAUGUUCUAAACCUGUCAAGAGCUGAAGUGGACAUCCAAUCACGUUCCUGUAUUACCAGGGUUUAUUCAUCAUACCAGCUUAUAGAAGCAGCACAUAACUGUGUUUGUAGUGAAAAAGUAUAAAAAAGGACAGAUGAGUGAAUUUCUAAUGAUGGAGAGGAGAAUGUAACUACAACCAAUGAUGUAGAUAUACACAGAAGAAUGAAUAUUAAUGUCUAUGUCUGAAACUCUUCUUUCAGUGGUUCUUUCAGCUCAGACCACUUCUGUUUUUCUGAGACUGAGCAGAGAGAGAGAGAAAUAAGUCAUAGUGGUGGGUUGUCUUUUCAUUUUACCACAGCAUAUUAUCUCACCCUAAAAUAACACAGCUGGUCAUUUCACACCUUCAAAAGAAGAAGACAACAACACAAAGAUACUGUGGGAACAGUGGCCUGUACUGUUUCUAUGGGGAUUAACAUAGAGACCCGGUUUUGAGUUUUACUAGAGGGUAUUACUAGAUGGUAUACAGCUGUUGAUGGAAAUUACUUUGUCACGGCUGUCGAACGGAUCGGACCAAAAU